Molecule: non-coding RNA, 26 nt
Filed under: Homo sapiens (human)
Lineage: Eukaryota; Metazoa; Chordata; Mammalia; Primates; Hominidae
Source: RNAcentral
UGAGGAGGUGUUAACCACCGAAGGGA